Molecule: long non-coding RNA, 353 nt
Filed under: Mustela putorius furo (domestic ferret)
Lineage: Eukaryota; Metazoa; Chordata; Mammalia; Carnivora; Mustelidae
Description: lncRNA (ENSMPUG00000029672.1)
Source: RNAcentral
CACGAAUCAGAGACCAUUAUUUCUUUAAGAACCAAAUAACUUUAUUUAAAUCAAAUUAACUUUAUUCGUGGAAAAACUGGAAGAACUGGAACCUUUUGCAGAAGCAAUACAGCAAUAAGCAUGCUCAGCUUGGUGAUCAGGGAAAGGCACCAUGCGGCCUGGGGCUACGGGGAAACAGUCCCAACUCAGUACUUUUUGUCGCUGUCGCCCAGGGUGAGCUUGUCAAACAGGUACUCUGCCAGGCCAUCUUCCGGAGCCCGCAUCUUGCGCAGGCUGGUGACAUAGCCCCCCAGCUCUUUGAUGGCCUCGACUUGCUGGUGCAGGUAGUGGCUCUCCAGGAAGUCGCACAGCUN